RNAcentral lists this long non-coding RNA (698 nucleotides) under Homo sapiens (human). Its description in RNAcentral is "HSALNT0101988". The record is from RNAcentral. Lineage: Eukaryota; Metazoa; Chordata; Mammalia; Primates; Hominidae.
UUUUCCGUGCAGCCGAUUGGGGUUUUGGGGUAAUUUGAGCGGUGACGGGUCGGUCCUCGCGCGCCUCCCUGGGUCCCUGCACCUAGUUGGAGGGGACUGAACGACAACGGGGCGCUACUCAGGCAACCUGGGGGACUCCCCCAAGGGCUGUCAGGCUUCAGCUGGGAGCCGAUGCAACACCCCAGCGGGGAGGGGAGGUCGGCCCAUUCUAAUCCCGACGUGUCCUUGGUCCCAGGCGCUCGGAGCAGCAUCUGAGAGGGCUCACUCUGAUCAUCAGCUGCACGUUAAGCCACAAACCGGCGUCGCUUCGGCGUUCCGGAACCCAGGCCUGGGGGCCGCGGGGAUUGCCUCUGCGUGCAACUCCGGAAAGUUUCAAGGGGUCCCCCGACUGCACAGGUCCGGAAAUCGGCUUUGAUAUGGAACUACUCCGCUCUAGCCUGGAAAGGAGACCCGCGCACUCCUCUCGCAGCUAAUUUCGGAUCAUUAAUUUAAUCGGAAAUGAGGUAACCAGUGUAGGAGACAGAGAAAGCAACCGGAGCAUCAAAUGGCAGUUCUCGAGAAUCGACGAGGAACUUAAAUCUGGACUCAGGGUUUCAGUGCGGUCUCCGACUCCCACCACCCCGCCCCUCCGCCUGUCUCGCCGCCAGGUGUGACCUCCACGCGAAGGAAUCUUCUUCGGAUGGGUGCACCUUGCCAAC